UCUUUAGUAAUUGCGAAUGAACAAGGAUAUGCUUAGCUUGACAAAUGGAGCUAUUGGCUUUGAAUUGUAUUGUGGAAAUGUAUUACCAACAGAGGUGCAGGUGCCAGCCUAUUGAAAUAAAGCGUCAAUGAGGGUGAGAAUCCUGUUUGUCAUGUGCAGCCCUUUGUGCACGGUGUAUAUUUGCUGAGUCACACUCCUUGGCAUUGGAAUGCAAAGUGGGUGGUAAGUUUCAUGUAAAGGUAAACAUGCAAUUGAGACUGAUAGCACACAAGUACCAUGAGGGAAAUAUGAAAAGGACUUUGAAAAGAGAAUUAAAUGAGUUUGUAUUUGCUGAACACAAAGUAAACAGACUUGAUUUGCUUGGUGGGAGUGUUGCACUUGCUUGACAAGAGCUUUGGGCUGUGGGUGUAAUGAUUCUUUCUUUGCAUGCCAGUUUCUAUUUGUACAUCUGAUUACCUUUGCACAUGAAUGAUAAGUCUCCUGUGGGGGGUGGAUUGCAUGUGCAUGUAAUGAUUUGUGUUUUGAUAAAUGUGUCUGGUGUAUGUGUGUGUUCCUGUGCUUGGGGAUGCUUCCUUCCUUGGACUUACAAGCCCUGACACACACAUGCUGGCAAAAUGCUUCUGCUUGACCCGUCUUGAAACACGGACCAAGGAGUCUAACAGAUGUGCAAAGUUUGAAGGUGGUAUACCUUUGUGUGCAAUGAAAGUGUCAGCUGGGAUAUGUGCACCAGCACCCAAUUAAUUAGCGGACAGAGGUUUGAGUUGGAGCAUAUCUAUUAGGACCCGAAAGAUGGUGAACUAUGCCUGAACAGAAUGAAUUCAGAGGAAACUCUGAUGGAGGUUCGUAUCGAUACUGACGUGCAAAUCGUUCGUCAUAUUUGGGUAUAGGGGCGAAAGACUAAUCGAACCAUCUAGUAGCUGGUUCCCUCCGAAGUUUCCCUCAGGAUAGCUGGAGUUGCUCAGUUUUAUCAGGUAAAGCGAAUGAUUAAGGAAUUGGGGACAGGUUUGUCUUUGACCUAUUCUCAAACUUUAAAUGGGUAAUAUGUAGUGGUUGCUGAUGGAACUU
Molecule: ribosomal RNA, 1065 nt
Filed under: Alexandrium catenella
Lineage: Eukaryota; Dinophyceae; Gonyaulacales; Pyrocystaceae
Description: partial large subunit ribosomal RNA
Rfam family: Eukaryotic large subunit ribosomal RNA
Source: RNAcentral